ACAGUGUCUUCUCUGACUGGAA
This 22-nucleotide small nuclear RNA is filed under the name Arabidopsis thaliana (thale cress). RNAcentral's name for it is "snRNA_01114". The record is from RNAcentral. Lineage: Eukaryota; Viridiplantae; Streptophyta; Magnoliopsida; Brassicales; Brassicaceae.